Long non-coding RNA from Alligator sinensis (Chinese alligator), 1897 nucleotides. RefSeq lists it as uncharacterized. The transcript is spliced from 4 exons. Lineage: Eukaryota; Metazoa; Chordata; Crocodylia; Alligatoridae. The record is from RefSeq and is a predicted model, not a curated record.
GUGAGAGAGAGAGAGAGAGAGAGAGAACUCUAGCUCCAUCCCAGCCAUUCUCUGUCCUCACUGUCAAACCUGCCCCUAGCCAACCUGCCACACUCAAUCCUCACGACCAAAACCCUCACCUGCCACUGUUGACCACUCCCUACCACCAACCCCUCUUUGCUGCCUAUGCUACACUUCCACUCUCCCAACAAACAGUAUUUGCUGGUUCCACUUACUGCCACUGUUUGCAGCCCCUUCCCCAAGCUAUUUGUUCUUGCCCCCAACAUCUCUUUGCUGCUGCUGCAAACACUGAUCAGUCUACAUAAGCUUUUGCUUUUGUUGGCCACACUUUCUUCUGCGUCACUCUGUUUUGCCCUCCUUAUUUCUCUUUCGCAGCCACCCCCACCCCAUUUUUUCUUUUGGUCAGUGUUGUUAUCUAGAGCGAGCUUGAAGUUUUAAAAUAACUCAGCCCGGGAGGAGGGUGGGGCAUGCAACUGGAUUGCAUUUCGCAUUGUUGGCUUUCUUCCCAAUAGGAGGAGGAGAUUUGGCAGAAAGUUAUUUGUGUGUGCAUCACUUUGUAAUGCUGUCUGAACAAGGGGCACAGGAGGCAGAUUUCUCGUUCAGAAUAAGCAACUUGCUCAGUAUUACCAAGGAAAACCAUCACAGAAAGGAUUAGAAGCAAUUCCCUGGGCAUUCACUUAACUGUGAGGCUUCUGCCUUCAGUCCUCUGUGCAUUAACCAACUGCUGUUUUAUCACUGGAAAUGAGGGUCCUUCACAUCACAGACUGGGUUUUGCCCCAGGACACAAGCCAUUCUGAGCACCGAAUGAGGCACAGUUUCCAUGAAAAACAGGAUGUGAUCAUGUCUUCAGUUUGAGAAAGUUUGAAGACAUUGAUUCUAAUGGAAGAAACAAAUCUAAGGAAUCACUGCUAGUAAUUCAAUGGAUUCACAAUUAUUGGCCUAACAAAUGCCAGCAGGGUGUAACUAACAUCAGGCCUACUCUGUGUAUAGUCAAAAACACUGAAUUACCUUUUUUGCUGUUAAUGGGUUGGAUGCUGCUCCAAGCAGAGGUGGGUAGAGGGUGGAUGGUGAUGCAACUUGAAGCUCUGAACUGAACUAAACUUGUUGGUAAAGGAUGCCCAAUUCCUGGAAUGACGGUGAACUGUGCAGUAACUGGAAAAGCCAGGAAUUAUAUGAAAUUCAUAGAAAAUGCCAAAGGUGAGAGGGGGCUAUGGAGAGGAGACAGUUACAUUUUCACAUCACAAUCCCCUCAUAAUCAAACCCAUGCUUUUGAAUGCUUUUGUUUUAAUGCUGCUACAGCACUUGGGUGGAGAAAAUAGCUGCUUCUAUCUCAUGCUGCUAGGUGGAGGUUUUGAUCGGAAGGAGAAAGGUAGAGUCAGUUCAUUGCCCAAGCAUGCAGGACACUGCACCCAACUGGAUGGCACAUCUCUGCUUGGAUAAAAUAACUUUUGCAUACUGUAUCCUGAUCUAUUCCCAUAUUUCAGGGAAUGUACUGUGCAUCAAUGGGCCGAACACUAAAGUUUCUGGUGAGCAGCAGAAAAGGAAGUCUGCAUGUAUAGAGGAGGAACACAGACUCUAGCAACAGCUUAGCAGACCUACCUCUGUACUUGAUGGCCAAUGGUAGCUGUUGCAUCCUAAUUAUAGGCUUAGCUUAGUUCAACCUAGCUUUUCAUUAUAAACUAAAGAUAUUGAUGUCCUGAAAGAAAAGAAGUAAUAAUGGAGAAUAUACCUGCACUAGGGGCAUUUCAACUGUGUAGACAUAUGGAUAUGUUGCACUGGCAAAGGUCCUGCUGUAGCAGAAAGCCCCCUUUUCCUCUUGCCUGCAUUUGCUCUCCCCUCUUUGGAUAUGUUUCUCUUUUUCUACCUUUUCUUCCUUCCUCUCUCUUUCACUUUAAGA